CAUGCAAGUCGAACGAGAAUCUGUGGAAAGAGGAUUCGUCCAAUUGAAGCAGAGGACAGUGGCGGACGGGUGAGUAACGCGUGAGGAACCUGCCUUUCAGAGGGGGACAACAGUUGGAAACGACUGCUAAUACCGCAUAACAUAUAGAUGUCGCAUGGCAUUUAUAUCAAAGAUUUAUCGCUGAAAGAUGGCCUCGCGUCUGAUUAGCUAGUUGGUGAGGUAACGGCCCACCAAGGCGACGAUCAGUAGCCGGACUGAGAGGUUGAACGGCCACAUUGGGACUGAGAUACGGUCCAGACUCCUACGGGAGGCAGCAGUGGGGAAUAUUGGGCAAUGGGCGCAAGCCUGACCCAGCAACGCCGCGUGAAGGAAGAAGGCUUUCGGGUUGUAAACUUCUUUUACCAGGGACGAAGGACGUGACGGUACCUGGAGAAAAAGCCACGGCUAACUA
Molecule: ribosomal RNA, 451 nt
Filed under: uncultured bacterium
Lineage: Bacteria
Description: bacterial SSU rRNA
Rfam family: Bacterial small subunit ribosomal RNA
Source: RNAcentral